Molecule: small nucleolar RNA, 81 nt
Organism: Neltuma alba
Lineage: Eukaryota; Viridiplantae; Streptophyta; Magnoliopsida; Fabales; Fabaceae
Source: RefSeq, a predicted model, not a curated record
CACUAUGAUGGAAAACUGGGGAGGCAGCACCAGACUGGCCAGAGAAUGACGUGGCAAAUGACCUCCCAGCACUAUCGGGAA